This is a long non-coding RNA of Oreochromis niloticus (Nile tilapia), 923 nucleotides long. RefSeq lists it as uncharacterized. NCBI's taxonomy places the organism in Eukaryota, Metazoa, Chordata, Actinopteri, Cichliformes, Cichlidae. The transcript has 3 exons. The record is from RefSeq and is a predicted model, not a curated record.
CUGCUGAGGGUGCAGCUGGGAGCAAUGUACAAGUAGCUGGGAGCGACUUGGAGAAAAGACGUUGCACAGGCGACACAUAAACACAGAUCCAGCUGGGGACACACAGAGAAAAGGAAAGGUAAAAGCUUGACUUUAUCUACAGUUACCGCUGCCUGGGUAACGUGAUCUCACAGACUGGCUCCACGGUCAACUCUGUCGUCACAGCGCAUUAGUGGAAAAGGUUAACUAUAGACUCCAUCACUGUGUGUCCCGGCAGCAGCAUGGCCAAGGGAACGAAAGCCAAAAGAAAGACUAAAAGUAAGAAGAUCACCUUGAAAAUGGCCCAGAACUGCGUGGAGCUGACAUUGGAUGGUAAACGCCGACUAGAUCUCAGUUUCAAGGGGAUUACAGCUGUUCCAAAGUGUGUCCAGAAGUGGACCUGAGCAGGAACAUGAUCAGAAAAAUUCCAGAUUUUAUUGCUCAGUUCAUCAAAAUGACUGUUUUGGAUUUGCACAGCAAUUAUGCAACCCAGCCUAUGAAAUGGGUUCCAACGCUACACAUGGGGCUCUACAACAUCCCAGCUUCAAACUACAUGCUACAUACCACCAUGCCAAUCAGAUUACUUCUUCCAUGUGUGGGUGAAGAGGUGACCCUUCUGGAUAAGAUGGUGAAGGUUUGCUGCAUUUUGGUGAACAUGUGCCCCAGUGUGGUAGUAAAACCAGGGAAAAAUUGCUCUUGUUAAAUACUCUUAAAAGUCUUGUGCUGUAUAUGUAGUGAUAAGAUUUCAAAAGAGACAGUAAAUUACAGAAUGCUAGUAGUGGGUGAUAUUAUUUAAAAGCUGUCAUGAUUUUAUGUGAACAUUUUGUCAUUUGUAAACUAUACAUGACAUUGAUUCUACAUUGUUACUGGUGUGAUGUUCUACAAAGUGGUUUUAAUUAAAAAAA